GUCACUUUGCCGGAGUGGUUAACGGGAUCGCCUGCUAUCCCUCUCAAGAGUCGUAUUGAGCGGUUGCUCUUUGAGCGCGUGUGUUCGAAUCGCACAGGUGACG
Marasmius sp. AFHP31 is the source of this 103-nucleotide non-coding RNA. The record is from the annotation of a GenBank genome assembly. NCBI's taxonomy places the organism in Eukaryota, Fungi, Basidiomycota, Agaricomycetes, Agaricales, Marasmiaceae.